Molecule: unclassified non-coding RNA, 51 nt
Filed under: Leishmania amazonensis
Lineage: Eukaryota; Euglenozoa; Kinetoplastea; Trypanosomatida; Trypanosomatidae
Description: external transcribed spacer
Source: RNAcentral
GAGACGCGUGUGGCGCACACACAUACACGACUCACGUUGUCACACAAUUGA